UUGCUUCCUAAAAUAAAUAUCUGAUCUGUUACGUAUGUCUCACUUUUAUAUAUGUAUUUCUACUUAAACAUAUGUAUCACCAUUUCAAAAUUCCGGAAUAACAUGUAAUUAGUAAAAUAAAUGGAACUUUAUGUAAUAUUUGGUUAAACUAUGAAGGAAUUAUGUAAGUACUCUUAUAUUAAUGCAUCUUCUUCCUGGCCCGGACCUGUUCAUUGCUUCAUCAGCGAUACAAGGACUUUUCACCAAGUUUUGUUCAAGGCCUCUUGAAAGUCUUCUUUUCUGAAAAAGUUACAGAGGAUGUAGAUGUGGACAGGAAUGCGAGGGCUAUUAAAAAGCGUAGCACUUUAAAACUUCUGUUGGGGUUGUCGUCGAUACUGGUAUCUUUGGGAAUAUUAUUAAGGACCUCACGAGUGUAGAACAUUUGAAAGACCGUGAUUCAACUCAGACCAAUUUGUCACUCUUAGCUAGCUUUGCUCGACAAGGAAGUUACCUGCUUAGGCUUUCAUUGGCUGGCCAAGAUACUUUUGAAGAGAUGCACCUGAAAGAUUUUAUUUUUCAAUGCUUGCUUGAGACGUUUUUUCCUUAUAUGAAACUAUAUUUACAUUGCCAUAUCUGAUGUUCGUGUUACACAUGCAGCUUAGAGGUGAAUGGUCCGGUCUCUCUUGAUAGUGGGUAUCAAUUAUUAGGAAUGGGGAAGAAUGAAUUAGCAAAGAUUAUAUGUUGAUUAUUCAAGUUAUUUGCUACCUCGGUGUUUCAGAUUUAGAUGUAAGUUAAUAUACCACUUCAUACUGAGUUACUUGACGCGACUUUGCUUUAACCACAUCAAAUUAGUUGAUCUCAGCUUCAUUUGAUCACUUUGAUGUGCAAAGCUCAAUGACAUUCUUAGUAUAUACACCACAAGAGACAACGCGUUCAUUAACUUUGCUUCCACUAUUAUCCAAGAGUUUCUCAGAGUCAUCUACCCCUCUCAUCAUUGCUCCAGUCUCCCACAGAAUUACGUCCAUUGUAGAAAUGACCUCAUAAACUUCCGUUGGAGUUUUCAACGUUAAAAUAAAAAUGUCAAUAUUAGAUGAGUUCCGAAAGUUCUGCCUGCUAGAUUGUUCAAGCUACAAACAGAAAAACGCACAAAAGACAGAAAGCCAUUCGUUUGUGCAAAUUGUAAGCGGUAAACAAAGCUGACAUAUCUUUUAGCAGUAAUAAGUUGUUGUCAUCAUUUGUGUGGCUUCUACUGUUGUGAAUGAAGUGAUGCUGGUCCAUCUUUAAAAGAAUUCUCCUUUGCAGAAUAGAAUUAGCAGUGAAAGCUCUUGAAAUAGCUCUUCGAGCCAUAAAAUCGUUUGAGAGUUCUUCAAGGGGAAAGAGAAAUUUAGAGUUUGUUAUCUGUUUGCCCGUUGUAACAGCAUUAAAUUGCCACUUAGGGUUGUGUUAUACUGCUGGCUUGGAAAUUCAAAAGAGAUUGCGAGUGGCCUUGUCGAUAUAUUUGUCAUCUAUGAAUCCAUCUACGAGCCUAAUCAAGCUCUCGAAUUACUUCAGAAGGCUAUAAAAGUGUAUUGCUUUCUGAGAAUCUUCUUGUGUUUCGACUACUUUCUUUUUCAGGGAAUCCAUUGAGUUUGAACUAGAUGGAUCAGGUAAAGAAGAUUAUUCGUAUAUUUAGUCUUCAGUUGCUUUUUGAUUUAGGAUAUUCUUAUGUUCGUAGUGAUUUUUGAGUAAUUGAAGUAUGAAAAAGUUGAGAAAAUUAGGAAGGAACAUAUAGUGUAGUGUACAAGGCUCAUGAUCGCGUAACUAAUGAAACUAUUGCACUGAACAAAAUAAGGCUGGAGCAGGAAGAUGAGGGGGUACCUACCACAUCUAUUAGAGAAAUCUCCCUCUUUAAAGAGAUGUAGCGUGCUAAUAUUGUGAGGUAUAAUUUAAUGAUAUUACUAUGUGAUUGUAUUAUAGUGAUUUCUGUAGAGUGUAAUGUGGGCUAUGCUUUGGUUUCUUAUGAUUAUGUUAUCAAUAUGAGGUUGAUUAUAUGUGAACUUCAGUUUAUUAUAUUGCCUACUGCUCCACUUCUAAGAUUAAUGCAGGAUCUUCGUUAUUUUAAUUUUCAUUUUGCUUUCUGGCCUUGGUGUUGUUCCUUUUUGGUAUUUGAGGUCUGUUGAUUUCGAAUAGUGUGCAUAGUCUAAUUUUUUGGUUAUAAAAAAUGAUUAUAACCUUAAAUAUGACUCUAAAAUUAUACUUGCAUUUAGUGUUUGUUUUUGAAUAUUUACUCAUCUAGGAGUGCAUCUCCCUCCCAAAUGUUCCAGUUAUUAUACCUGACUUGGAAUUUUCAAUUAACCAAAAUCAAAGUUACUAAAACUCUAAAUAAUGUCUACUUGCAUGAAUUAUCUUCCUCAUUUUUUGUAACUUUUGCCUACUGGAGAAGGAUGGUUUUUUGGGGUUCUAAAGCUCGAUAGCUUUACUUAGUAUGGAGGACCAGUCAAUCAAAAUUAGGGAACUGAUCUGUUUAUCGACCUUGCUUAUUUCCCAAGGUACUAAUUUUUCUUCCCAGUUGCUUGCUUGCUUAAUGAAAAUAAGGUUAGCUUACCAUUAUUGAACAUUGACUUGCAUUGCAACAUCAUAAUAGUAAAAUGUAGCAUACUUUUAGACUAUAAUUCCUAGAAGAAAGAGGUAAUAUACAUGAAGAUUACAAAUAGAGCCCAUUGGUUAUUGAUUGCAAUACUUGAUUGUUUCUUUUGAAGAUUGAGAUCUAUAUUUUCACUAUUGAAUGCACAACUUACUUCUAAGAGCUCUACCAAAAUGGUUAACCACCUUUUUUGACUGGAGAUUCGAUAGUCACUGAAAGUGCACCUAAUUUACAUCAAUGGGAUGCACUGUCAAGAAAAGUGACCAGAAAGAAAGAAACAAAAGUUUAUUUUCUGUUAUCAUUGAAGAAGUUUAGUAGUUAGAUAUAUGAUCAAGCUCAACUCAACUUUCUUGAAGUAAUUCUGUACCUGGAAGCACCUACUUCGACAUGAAGUAAAGACUGGUUGCACAAGCACACUGGUCAUUAGCUUUUUUCUAUGAAAGCCAUAGGAGACACCUAUUAAUUGUAAAUCAUGUUGCAUAACUGAAUCGCCAAGGUGUUGUUUAGUAGUUUUGCAUAAUCUUAUUAUUUUGGAGGUGGAAUAAACUUAUUUGACAGUGGCUAUUGUCAAUUUGGAGUUUUCCCCUACAUGGAAAAAUAUAUACACAUCCUUAAGUCCAGUUAUUCCACCCUUUGAAUCCUCACAACUGUGGUUUGUGUAAUAUGUGGAGAAAUGAUGACCGAGCCGUCCGAUUUUGUUAUUAACAUUCUUGUAAUUCUGACCUGUAGAUGAGAGAGGGGAUGAAAAUUCAAGAUGCAGAUAAUGAGGUGUCACGAGUUAUCUCAAGGAGGGAUACGGCCACCCAAAUGAGCCCCAAGGAAAUCCCUUCCUCAUCUUCUAUAAGACACUCAAAUGAUUUAUUUUCGGUUUGCCAUAUUUUUGAGCUGGUUGAUAUACCUGCUGUCCGAAUACAAUUUGUGGUUGAGUUGCUUGUCUUAUCUUAGAAUAUUUUAUAUUGAGUCGGGUGUCUAUCGGAAACAGCCUCCCUAUCUCAUAUUUGAGGUAGUGGUAUAGACCAGUGUACACUUACCCUCCCCAGACCCCACUUGGUGGGAAUAUACUGGGUAUGUUGUUGUUGUUGUUGUAGAAUUGCAAAGUGUGCCUUCUUCUAAAGCAAAAAUUAGAGAUGCUCUCAUUGAUGAAUGGGUUACAGUGACCAGGUGGUCAAAGAAACAAAAAGCUCAAAUUCCAGGUAGGAGCAUGGAGCUUGAUGACUGGAAAUGGAAAGCUAUGGGAAUCCGAUCUUCAGGUUGGGAUGAUUCAGACACAUCAAGUAGUAUUUCAAAGUAAGUGAUGCUAUUUUAUUCAUUAGAUUGGAAGUAAAUUAUUUUGAAGCAUUAUCAUUUAGAGAUGUUUGAUGUUAGUCUAAGGCGAUUAAAGAUAUUACAAAUAGAAAAGGAAGAGGUGAUAGAUCUUUUGUAGAAGAUGCAAACACAAUGGCGAGGUUCAGAGGCCCAGUCUAGGGGUCAAGAGAAUUAGUAGAUCAUUUAGACAGAGUUGCAGAGACAAGUGGUGAGCCUUCUAUGUUUCGGAAGGUCUUAUGCCCUGCAGUCCUUUAGCUUAUAUUUAGUUUGUGGGUCUACUGGGGGCCUUGUCCCAGUUUAUAUACAGUUACUUGACUCAAUCAUUUGUUAGAGAUUUUCGCAGACAGUUGUUUAGAGGUUGAUUGAUAUUGGGGGAACCUUAUUUCCCCGUUAUUGUUUCUUCACAUAUUUAUGAUCAUGUUUCCGAAUACUUGUGUUUCUUCCAUAUUACUUUGAUCAUAUGAAUUAGGUGCAUGAUUAUCAGACAGAUAGAGGUGUUUCGGGCCUCCAAGGUUUGAAAUGCUCGUCACGGCCAGGCCCUGAUUCGGGUCGUGACACUCAGGUAUUGUUAUUGUUGUUUGUUUAGGAACUCAGACGCAAGUUUAUUUGCUUAUCCUCACCCAAGCACCUUCUCAAUUCCAGGAAGUGGCAAUUCUAGAUUUAGGCAAGUGGAAAAAUCUCUUAACAGAUUAUCCAUCUUUCUUUUCUGCUGUAUUAUCCUAUACCAACUCCUAUUCUGAUCAACUCGCGGUGUACAGUUGUAAAAGUUCUGUAAAGGUGGGAGUACAUUAUUAUGGUCAUGCACCACUUUACUAGUGCACUGCCUAGUUGGGAGUACAUUGUUCUGGAUUUCAUUUAGAAGAGUCACAUACUUCAGAGAUAGAUCAACCAACUUCUAUAGAUGGAAAUGUUAAGCAACCUUUUAUCAUAGGUAUGUAGAGGCGGUAAUAUAUCUCCUGUUGUUGCUACCAAACUUUAUCUAACUAAAGCCUAGAUUCAUUUUGUGUUCCUGAUCUUUAUCUUGCAUGUUGCAGUGACUUUGUAUCUCAUCUUAGAGGAGUUAGCUCAGCAUUUACCGGAAGCAUAUGUCAUGGCUUUGUUUCUCCCAAUUUGUUGUCUGGCGUUUGGUCAAAAUACAAUUUGUCGCUUUGGUAUGAGGAGAUCUCUAGGAAUUAUGGCCAAAUAUUGGAAUAGUUCAUGUAACAUGGCACUGUUGUGAAACUUAAUCUUUGAACUGACAGAACUUUGAUUCUAUUCAUGUAAGACCCCGUAAAAUCCUAAAGCUUAAUUCAGUCCUUUAAGCUUGUCAAGGGGUCCCAGACUUAGAAAAUUCUAGCUAGGUUCCCAGACUUAGCCUAUUAUUGGCCAUCGAAAGUUGGCAAU
Capsicum annuum is the source of this 5290-nucleotide RNA transcript. RefSeq lists it as uncharacterized. The record is from RefSeq and is a predicted model, not a curated record. NCBI's taxonomy places the organism in Eukaryota, Viridiplantae, Streptophyta, Magnoliopsida, Solanales, Solanaceae. The transcript is spliced from 6 exons.